Molecule: ribosomal RNA, 929 nt
Filed under: uncultured bacterium
Lineage: Bacteria
Description: bacterial SSU rRNA
Rfam family: Bacterial small subunit ribosomal RNA
Source: RNAcentral
AGAGUUUGAUCAUGGCUCAGAACGAACGCUAGCGGCGUGCUUAACACAUGCAAGUCGAACGAGAAAGGUCCUUCGGGGCUAAGUAAAGUGGCGCACGGGUGAGUAACACGUGGGUAACGUACCCUCGGGUGGGGAAUAACGGGCCGAAAGGCUCGCUAAUACCGCAUAAGACCACAGCCCUCGCGGGGGCAGGGGUCAAAGGGGGCUACUUUCGGGUAGUUCUCGCCUGAGGAGCGGCUCGCGGACCAUUAGCUAGUUGGUAGGGUAACGGCCUACCAAGGCUACGAUGGUUAGCUGGUCUGAGAGGAUGAUCAGCCACACUGGAACUGGAACACGGUCCAGACUCCUACGGGAGGCAGCAGUGGGGAAUAUUGCGCAAUGGGGGAAACCCUGACGCAGCAACGCCGCGUGAGUGAAGAAGGCCUUCGGGUUGUAAAGCUCUGUCAGUUGGGAAGAAAUCNCGGGGUAACCCCUCGUGACUGACGGUACCUUCAAAGGAAGCACUGGCUAACUCCGUGCCAGCAGCCGCGGUAAUACGGAGAGUGCAAGCGUUGUUCGGAAUUACUGGGCGUAAAGAGCAUGUAGGCGGCCUAGUCAGUCUGGUGUGAAAGCCCGGGGCUCAACCCCGGAAGUGCAUUGGAUACUGCUAGGCUUGAGUACUGGAGGGGAAAGCGGAAUUCCGAGUGUAGAGGUGAAAUUCGUAGAGAUUCGGAGGAACACCUGUGGCGAAGGCGGCUUUCUGGACAGAUACUGACGCUGAGAUGCGAAAGCGUGGGGAGCAAACAGGAUUAGAUACCCUGGUAGUCCACGCAGUAAACGAUGGAUACUAGGUGCUACGGGGUAACCACCCCUGUAGUGCCGUAGCUAACGCAUUAAGUAUCCCGCCUGGGGAGUACGGCCGCAAGGCUAAAACUCAAAUGAAUUGACGG